UCCUCAUUAGAAUACUGGUAAGUAUCCCUGCCUGUCAUGCAGGAGACUAGGGUUCGAUUCCCUGACAGGGAG
Non-coding RNA from Bos taurus (domestic cattle), 72 nucleotides. Lineage: Eukaryota; Metazoa; Chordata; Mammalia; Artiodactyla; Bovidae. The record is from Rfam.